Grammomys surdaster is the source of this 104-nucleotide small nuclear RNA. The record is from RefSeq and is a predicted model, not a curated record. NCBI's taxonomy places the organism in Eukaryota, Metazoa, Chordata, Mammalia, Rodentia, Muridae.
GUGCCUUCUUUGGCAGCAUGUAUAUUAAAAAUUGGAAGGAUACAGAGAUUAGCACUUCCCCUGCCAAGGAUGACAUGUAAAUUCAUGAAACAUUCCAUUUUUAA